CGCGGGGCAGACGGAACGUAGAGGGGUUCGCGCGGGCAAGAAGGGACGCAGACGCUCAGGACCCAAAGGCUGUGGCGUUGCGAGAGGAGGAAGACGCGCAGGGUAUGAACCUCGGCGCGUUCAUCUCGGGGGACCUGAAGGAGAGGGACUCGUGGAGAGUUGAGGGGUGUUUUGGAGGCGAAGCGCAAGGACUGCGCACAGGACUUGAAGGACGACAGGAAGGUGGGGGACUCGGCCCAGGUUCAACGCUACUGGCAGCCAGGGAGAGGCUGGGAGAUGCACAGGCUUGCUGAGGGCUGAGUACAAAUAGGGAGUGCAGAGCUUCAGAAGACUAUGCCGUCUCCUGUGUUGUGUCAGAGUGGAGUGGCUGGAGUCGUUGUGUGAGGCCCUGCCAGGCCUCCUACCGUGUAUGCCGGAGGCGUGUCCUGCAGGAGCCGAGGAAUGGGGGUGUCCCCUGCCCCCUGCUGGAAGAGCAGGCGGGCUGUGUGGAGUACUGGAGCCACCAGGAAUGGAGUGCCAGCAGUCCUUGAGUGAGUGGGGGUGGGGCCCAGGGGUGGCUUUCAGUGGG
This 568-nucleotide long non-coding RNA is filed under the name Aotus nancymaae (Ma's night monkey). RNAcentral describes it as "lncRNA (ENSANAG00000039114.1)". Lineage: Eukaryota; Metazoa; Chordata; Mammalia; Primates; Aotidae. The record is from RNAcentral.